Molecule: ribosomal RNA, 407 nt
Filed under: uncultured bacterium
Lineage: Bacteria
Description: partial 16S ribosomal RNA
Rfam family: Bacterial small subunit ribosomal RNA
Source: RNAcentral
GACGAACGCUGGCGGCGUGCCUAAUACAUGCAAGUAGGACGCAGUUGCGAACGGGUGAGUAACGCGUAGGUAACUACCUAUUAGAGGGGGAUAACUAUUGGUAACGAUAGCUAAUACCGACUACUAGUAGAUGGACCUGCGUUGUAUUAGCUAGUAGGUAGGGUAAUGGCCUAACUAGGCAACGAUACAUAGCCGAGCUGGGAGGUUGUUCGGCCAGACUGGGACUGAGACACUGCGCAGACUCCGACGGGAGGCAGCAGUAGGGAAUCUGCGGCAAUGGGGGGAACCAUGACCGAGCAACGCCGGGUGAGUGAAGAAGGUUUUCGGAUCGUAAAGCUCUGUUGUGAAGGAAGCGGUACUUAACCAGAAAGGGACGGCUAACUACGUGCCAGCCGCCGCGGUAAUUC